This is a long non-coding RNA of Protopterus annectens (West African lungfish), 792 nucleotides long. RefSeq lists it as uncharacterized. The transcript has 2 exons. The record is from RefSeq and is a predicted model, not a curated record. NCBI's taxonomy places the organism in Eukaryota, Metazoa, Chordata, Ceratodontiformes, Protopteridae.
AUAAAGUUUAAUGACCACCUUAAUCUGGAAGAGUGUGAACUUCUUAUGGCCUCAUUGUCAAGCUGUCAGUUGCCAUUUCAGUGUGCUCAUGGGAGACCAUCAAUGGUACCACUCGCUGACAUCGAUCACUUAGAGAUGGAGAAGCAGGAUCAAUGUAAACCCAAUUUGACUAGACUGACAAAAAUGUGUAAAGAUUGGAAGAUUUAUGGAAAGCAGUGACAUUUCCAGUAAUAUGAUACUGAACACCAUGGAAAAGUUGAUUCAUGCUUCAGUGCAGCAUUCAGUCAAGCAGCCUCAAAUACAAGCUUUUGCAUUCUUUGUUGCUCAGAAAAAGCCAAUGUCAUUUGGAACUGUCAAUUUUAAAGAACUGAACAGCUACGUCAAUCCAGUGGACAAGGCUAAAUGUUACACACUGUAGGAUAAUUAGCUGGAGCAAAAUUAAUGGGACUCAUAAUUUUUUAGACUGAUAUUGGUAAUAAGUCUUGAAUCACCUUCAGUGCAAGUGUGCACAGCUCACCAACUGAAGUGCUGCGUUAAUAUAUCUCCUAUAUAUGCUUUGUUAUCCUUAGCCUCUGAAGAGAGAUUGUAGAAGUACAGUGCAUUUUGCUGGGGCAAAGAGGUAUUUUAGGUAAGAAAAUGUCAGCAAAAAUUUUCCAUGGCUUGAAUAUUACACCAUUAUUUAGGAUAUAGUUGCAGUACAACAACUUACUGAAUUAUUUUAUUUAUUUCAAAAUGAUAAUGUAUAAAAUAUAUCUCAUUUAGUUGCAGAAUAAAGUGGUGCUCAGAACUGUG